Molecule: long non-coding RNA, 1365 nt
Organism: Cynoglossus semilaevis (tongue sole)
Lineage: Eukaryota; Metazoa; Chordata; Actinopteri; Pleuronectiformes; Cynoglossidae
Exons: 3
Source: RefSeq, a predicted model, not a curated record
CUCAAUAGUAUUUCAAUUUGCAGGGGUGUGGAGGGGGUGGGGUGGGGGCGUGACAGAAAAUAGUUGAGGAGCAGAGUGAACUGAAGUGCUGCUGAAGAUCUGAAGCCUGGAAGUAAUGAUGCCUCAGGCAGAAUGACGAUCAACAACAACAACAACAACAACAAAAACCUCCCACUGUUAAAUCCGUCCUGUGAUUAUCUUCAUAGUUUUUUCUCUGCCCUUUGACUGUGAAUUUGCAUCAAUGCUCAUGUAGGUGAGAUUCAAGCACUAUAAAAAUACACAAACACAAAAUUUGACAUAAACCUAAGAGCCGCAUGUGGCUCACGAGCCGCGGGUUGGCCCUCCCUGGACUGUCCCUGGUCCAGGCUGAUCCGUUCAGAUAUUUCUUUUAUUUUCAGUCACCAGUGGAUGUCGCUGUAAGUCAUCUGUGAGGCAGAGACAUAUUUCCACUUCCUCAUUGCUUCACAAGCAACUGUCAGGCAGCUGAGGUGGAUGUAGGUGUGUGUGUGUGUGUGUGUGUGUGUGUGUGUGUAUAUGUGCUGGGCAUGCAGUGAACCUUGAUGGAACUCUUCAAAACUGACAGUCAGUCUAAUCACAUCUUCACAGAGUUUCAUCAGUGUGUGUGUGUGUGUGUGUGUGUGUGUGUGUGUGUGUCUGUGUCUGUGUGUGUGUGUCUGUGUCUGUGUGUGGAUGGAGAGACAGUGAGAACGAUCUCUAUUUCUUGCAGGGCCAUCACCAAGGGCAGACCUCAAAAUAAGUGAGUGAUGUCAUAUUUUAAACCCUCCUCUUACACCAGUGCUCAUGGACCAGGACCAGGACCAGGACCAGGACCAGGACCAGGACCAGGACACUGGAGGGUUCUGGUUUCUUCGGCCACUAAAAACAGCUAGCUUCAACUACAACGUACAACUUUUGGCAGUAGCUUUGACCACCGGUGAUUUCCUCAGUAAAUGGAGUGCUCUCCACGCAUGUCAAGGACGAGGCCGGAGUACAAACAAUCACCAGGAAACUUGAUCCCACGGAAAGAAAUGAGGUCAACUGUAACAGAUCUCUCUGGAGAGAUUAACUGGUUUGGACCCAGAAGCGAACAGAGGAAAUGUGCAAAGUUCAUCAAAUGUUUGAAGGCCUGAGUUUUCAGUGCACAGCACAGAGGAGCGCAGCGGCGAGGUUCCAGCCAGCAAGACAUGAGGGCAGGAAUAGGAAAAGUCACCUUGAGCUGUCGGAACAUGGCUUGACUGAGAUACCGGGCAGUACAGGGAGGUAAGGCCUAACAAUCUAACUGACACAGUGGCAGUGGAAAAACCCAAAAAUGAUACUUGACAAGACAAUGUUUGGUGUCCAGACUCCUCCUCCAGAUUAUAUACA